CACGGGGGGAGCAAGCGUUGUUCGGAAUCACUGGGCGUAAAGGGCGUGUAGGCGGUCAAGUAAGUGGAAUGUGAAAGCCCCCGGCUUACCCGGGGAUCUGCAUCCCAAACUGCUUGGCUUGAGUACGGGAGAGGAUAGGGGAAUUCCUGGUGUAGCGGUGAAAUGCGUAGAUAUCAGGAGGAACACCGGUGGCGAAGGCGCCUAUCUGGCCCGAUACUGACGCUGAGGCACGAAAGCGUGGGGAGCAAACAGG
This 253-nucleotide ribosomal RNA is filed under the name uncultured bacterium. RNAcentral describes it as "partial 16S ribosomal RNA". It matches the Rfam family "Bacterial small subunit ribosomal RNA", at positions 524 to 776 of the family's 1533-position model. The record is from RNAcentral.